RNAcentral lists this long non-coding RNA (1700 nucleotides) under Cyanistes caeruleus (blue tit). Its description in RNAcentral is "lncRNA (ENSCCEG00000006277.1)". Lineage: Eukaryota; Metazoa; Chordata; Aves; Passeriformes; Paridae. The record is from RNAcentral.
AUUUAAUUGUUAUUUAUUAUUAUAAUCCCAAAAUAACCCCUCGGUUUGGGGUUGUGGUUUUGUAAUUCGGGAAAAGGAACUGGGAAACCUGGAGAGGGAGGGGAGGACGGGAAUGGUUUUGGGGUCAGGAAUGGGGUUUGGGGUCAGGAAUGGGGUUUGGGGUCAGGAAUGGUUUUUGGGGUCAGGAAUGUUUUUGGGGUCAGGAAUGUCAAUGGGGUUCAGGAAUGUUUUUUGGGGUCAGGAAUGGGUUUUGGGGUCAGGAAUUGUCUUUGGGGUCAGGAAUGGUUUUUGGGGUCAGGAAUGUUUUUGGGGUCAGGAAUGGUUUUGGGGGUCAGGAAUUGUUUUUGGGGUCAGGAAUUGUCUUUGGGGUCAGGAAUGGUUUUUGGGGUUGGGAAUGGUUUUGGGGGUCAGGAAUUGUUUUUGGGGUCAGGAAUGUUUUUGGGGUCAGGAAUGGUUUUUGGGGUCAGGAAUGGGUUUUUGGGGUCAGGAAUUGUCUUUGGGGUCUGGGAAUUUUUUUGGGGUCAGGAAUGUUUUUGGGGUCAGGAAUGUCAAUGGGGUUCAGGAAUGUUUUUUGGGGUCAGGAGUGUUUUUUGGGGUCAGGAAUGCUGGUGGACGUUGGGAAUCCCAGUGGUGCCAAGCAGGAAAGCCUUUUCUUCAUCGUUCCCACAUUCCAGCUGCUUUCGAGGAGUUUGGGAUCAGCCCCAAAUCCCUCUGGCUCCUCCCUGCCCUGCCACCAUUGCCAUUCCCACCCGGCCCAGGAACCCGUGGGUUCCUGUGGGAUUUUGGGAUGGUCACAGCACUGGGAAGUUCAGGUUCUGGGAUGUUCAGGCUCUGGGAUGUUCAGGCUCUGGGAUGUUCAGGUUCUGGGAUGUUCAGGCUCUGGGAUGUUCAGGCUCUGGGAUGUUCAGGUUCUGGGAUCGCAUUCCAACGCCUUUGGGAUGUUUGGGAUGAGCCCUGCAGGGUGGGAAUGCCCAAGGGAACGGGGAGCCCGGGAUGUGCAGUCCCCACCCAUGUCCAGCGGGUUCCUGUUGGAUUUUGGGAUGGUCACAGCAUGGAAUGUUCAGGCUCUGGGAUCGCAUUCCAAUGCAUUUCGGGAUGAGCCCUGCGGGGUGGGAACGCCAUGGGACGUCCAAAGGAACGUGCAGCCCCCAGGGAGAUCCGGUGGGAUUUUGGGAUGGUCACAGCACUGGGAAGUUCAGGUUCUGGGAAGUUCAGGCUCUGGGAUGUUCAGGCUCUGGGAAGUUCAGGUUCUGGGAUGUUCAGGUUCUGGGAUGUUCAGGUUCUGGGAUGUUCAGGUUCUGGGAUGUUCAGGCUCUGGGAUGUUCAGGUUCUGGGAUGUUCAGGCUCUGGGAUGUUCAGGCUCUGGGAUGUUCAGGCUCUGGGAUCACAUUCCAACGCCUUUGGGAUGUUUGGGAUGAGCCCUGAGGGUGGGAACACUGUGGGAACGUGCAGCCCCCAGGGCGAUCCGGUGGGAUUUUGGGAUGGGCACGGCAGUGGGACCUGCAGGUUCUGGGACGUUCAGGCUCUGGGAUUUUGGGCGGCCGGGACUCUGGGGCUCUGGAGCGACAUUCCGAGGCAUGGCGGGGUGCUGGGAUUCGGGAUCGGCGGCGUCGGGGAUCCUUCAAAGCGGCGCUUUCAAGUGCCGAGGGGAGAUGGUAUCAGCUGGGAAUGGGGAGCUGGCAGGGCCGGGCCCGCUCCCC